CCCUUAGAUGUUCUGGGCCGCACGCGCGCUGCACUGAACAUAUCAGCUUGUUUUUCCCUUCCUGAGAAGGACGGGUAAACCCCUGAGCCAUGUUCAUGGUAGGGAUUGGGGCUUGCAAUUAUUCCCCACGAACCAGGAAUUCCCAGUAGGCGCAAGUCAUAAGCUUGCGUCGAUUACGUCCCUGCCCUUUGUACACACCGCCCGUCGCUCCUACCGAUUGAGUGAUCCGGUGAGGCUCUGGGACCUGGACGGAAAGAGCGUUUCGCUUGUUCUGUUUGGGAAACUUGGUCGAACCUUAUCAUUUAGAGGAAGGAGAAGUCGUAACA
Molecule: ribosomal RNA, 326 nt
Filed under: uncultured eukaryote
Lineage: Eukaryota
Description: partial 18S ribosomal RNA
Rfam family: Eukaryotic small subunit ribosomal RNA
Source: RNAcentral